GCCGCACUUGUGAUGGACUUUGGAAUUAUUGGUUUCACCACGGCCACAUCCUUUUUUUUUUUUUUUGGUUUGCAAUUUUGAAAACACCAAAACUAGAUAAUACUUUUGUUUGUACUACUUUGUAUUUGUUAACGUGACAAAAGAUUUGUAACCGUUAUGUUAAGAAUUACACACAAUCGAACACGAGUAUUACAUCUUUCGAUUCUCAACUAUCUCUCAGAAGUAAGAACAUUUGUUUGAACUCG
RNAcentral lists this long non-coding RNA (245 nucleotides) under Capsella rubella. RNAcentral's name for it is "long non-coding RNA (CRUB_LNC003973)". Lineage: Eukaryota; Viridiplantae; Streptophyta; Magnoliopsida; Brassicales; Brassicaceae. The record is from RNAcentral.